This 466-nucleotide ribosomal RNA is filed under the name uncultured bacterium. RNAcentral's name for it is "partial 16S ribosomal RNA". It matches the Rfam family "Bacterial small subunit ribosomal RNA", at positions 28 to 507 of the family's 1533-position model. The record is from RNAcentral.
GACGAACGCUGGCGGCGUGCUUAACACAUGCAAGUCGAACGGUAAGGCUCCAGCUUGCUGGGGUACACGAGUGGCGAACGGGUGAGUAACACGUGGGUGACCUGCCCUGCACUUCGGGAUAAGCCUGGGAAACUGGGUCUAAUACCGGAUAGGACCAUGGUGUGGAUACUGUGGUGGAAAGUUUUUUCGGUGUGGGAUGGGCCCGCGGCCUAUCAGCUUGUUGGUGGGGUAAUGGCCUACCAAGGCGGCGACGGGUAGCCGGCCUGAGAGGGUGGACGGCCACAUUGGGACUGAGACACGGCCCAGACUCCUACGGGAGGCAGCAGUGGGGAAUAUUGCACAAUGGGCGGAAGCCUGAUGCAGCGACGCCGCGUGGGGGAUGACGGCCUUCGGGUUGUAAACUCCUUUCACCAUCGACGAAGGGUUUCUGACGGUAGAUGGAGAAGAAGCACCGGCUAGCUACGUG